UACAGAGGACGCAAGCGUUGUUCGGAUUCAUUGGGCGUAAAGGGUGCGUAGGCGGCGUGGUAAGUCGGGUGUGAAAUCUCGGAGCUUAACUCCGAACCUGCAUUCGAUACUGCCGUGCUUGAGGACUGGAGAGGAGACUGGAAUUUACGGUGUAGCGGUGAAAUGCGUAGAUAUCGUAAGGAAGACCAGUGGCGAAGGCGGGUCUCUGGACAGUCCCUGACGCUGAGGCACGAAGGUCAGGGGAGCAAACGGG
RNAcentral lists this ribosomal RNA (253 nucleotides) under uncultured bacterium. RNAcentral's name for it is "partial 16S ribosomal RNA". It matches the Rfam family "Bacterial small subunit ribosomal RNA", at positions 524 to 776 of the family's 1533-position model. The record is from RNAcentral.